AAUAUUUGACAACGGGCGAAAGCCUGACGCAGCCACGCCGCGUGAAUGAUGAAGGUCUUAGGAUUGUAAAAUUCUUUCACCGGGGACGAUAAUGACGGUACCCGGAGAAUAAGCCCCUGCUACCUUCGUGCCAGCAGCCGCGGUAAUACGAAGGGGGCUAGCGUUGCUCGGAAUUACUGGGCGUAAAGGGCGCGUAGGCGGAUCGUUAAGUCAGGGGUGAAAUCCCGGGGCUCAACCUCGGAACUGCCCUUGAUACUGGCGCUCUUGAGUAUGAGAGAGGUAUGUGGAACUCCGAGUGUAGAGGUGAAAUUCGUAGAUAUUCGGAAGAAAACCAGUGGCGAAGGCGACAUACUGGCUCAUUACUGACGCUGAGGCGCGAAAGCGUGGGGAGCAAACA
Molecule: ribosomal RNA, 397 nt
Filed under: uncultured bacterium
Lineage: Bacteria
Description: partial 16S ribosomal RNA
Rfam family: Bacterial small subunit ribosomal RNA
Source: RNAcentral